This 25-nucleotide transfer RNA is filed under the name Culex quinquefasciatus (southern house mosquito). Its description in RNAcentral is "partial tRNA-Leu". Lineage: Eukaryota; Metazoa; Arthropoda; Insecta; Diptera; Culicidae. The record is from RNAcentral.
AGUAUUCUAACAAAAGAUAAAAUCU